UACGGAGGGGCUAGCGUUGUUCGGAAUUACUGGGCGUAAAGCGCACGUAGGCGGAUAUUUAAGUCAGGGGUGAAAUCCCAGAGCUCAACUCUGGAACUGCCUUUGAUACUGGGUAUCUUGAGUCCGGAAGAGGUGAGUGGAAUUGCGAGUGUAGAGGUGAAAUUCGUAGAUAUUCGCAGGAACACCAGUGGCGAAGGCGGCUCACUGGUCCGGAACUGACGCUGAGGUGCGAAAGCGAUGGGGAGCA
RNAcentral lists this ribosomal RNA (247 nucleotides) under uncultured bacterium. Its description in RNAcentral is "partial 16S ribosomal RNA". It matches the Rfam family "Bacterial small subunit ribosomal RNA", at positions 524 to 770 of the family's 1533-position model. The record is from RNAcentral.